UACGGAGGGUGCAAGCGUUAUCCGGAUUCACUGGGUUUAAAGGGUGCGUAGGAGGGCAGGUAAGUCAGUGGUGAAAUCUCCGGGCUUAACCCGGAAACUGCCAUUGAUACUAUCAGUCUUGAAUACCGUGGAGGUAAGCGGAAUAUGUCAUGUAGCGGUGAAAUGCUUAGAUAUGACAUAGAACACCAAUUGCGAAGGCAGCUUACUACCCGAAUAUUGACACUGAGGCACGAAAGCGUGGGGAUCAAACAGG
Molecule: ribosomal RNA, 253 nt
Filed under: uncultured bacterium
Lineage: Bacteria
Description: partial 16S ribosomal RNA
Rfam family: Bacterial small subunit ribosomal RNA
Source: RNAcentral